RNAcentral lists this long non-coding RNA (2098 nucleotides) under Ornithorhynchus anatinus (platypus). RNAcentral's name for it is "lncRNA (ENSOANG00000039251.1)". The record is from RNAcentral. Lineage: Eukaryota; Metazoa; Chordata; Mammalia; Monotremata; Ornithorhynchidae.
UUCUCCAGAGCUUUUGCUUUCUCUGCAGAAGGAACCCGGGCCUGGUAGUCAGAAGUCCUGGAAAAUGGAGUGCCUUCCACCAUGAGAAGCAAGAUUCAGAGGGUGCUCAGUGUCCACCAUAACCCCUCUCCCUGUUCAGAAGCAGAAGGGGUUGUGUCACUGGCGUGGGAGGCUCAACAGGAAGCUCUUGAUGACCCCAGUGGUGGAGAAGCUCCAUUGUCACGUGCUACUAGCCACCCUCCACUCCUGCACUCCCCAGACACCCUUCGGAUUUUUGCCCAGUGACAAGUGGGGACGACAUGGGGCAAUAUGCAUGAUCAGAAGUGCAGCUGGCAGGUCUACAUUUCUGCAGCCACUGAAAUUUUCCUGGGCCAGUAGGAGUGUAGAUGAAAAAACUGACCAGGAAAAGACAAGAUCUUAAAAUCAGUAGCAGAACCGAUAGUCCACAUUCAGGUUCUCAGCCCCCAAGUCUCAGAACCUGGGCUCAUCUGGCAUUCUCAACUGGCGUGUCCCCAGCUUUGAAAAAUACGCAGAAGCAUUUGAACCUUGAAACAAGGAGCCUGUCAGGACUCAAUAAUAACGAUAAUAUUAAUAAUGAUGAUGGUACUUGUUAAACACUUACUAUGUGUGAAGCGCUGGGGAAGAUACAAGUUAAGCAGGUUGGACACAGUCCCUGUCCCCCGUGGGGCUCACAGAUUAAACAGUAGGGAGAGCAGGUAUUGAAUCCCCAUUUUACAGUUGAGGAAACUGAGGCUCAGAGAAGCAAAGGGAUUGCCCAAGGUGAUGCAUCAAACAAAUGGUAGAGCUGGGAUUAGAACCCAGGUCCUCUGAUUCCCAGGCCCGUGUUCUUUCCACCAAGCUCGGCCUCGAGACUUGUAAGCUCAUUAUGGGCAGGGAAUGUGUCCGUUUAUUGUUGUAUCGUACUCUCCUAAGCACUUAGUACAGUGCUCUGCACAGAGUAAGCGCUCAGUAAAUAUGAUCGGAUGAAUGCUUCCCACCCUCCUCAAGAGGAGAAAAGAAAGAAGAGGACAGACAGGGAGUGGCAGCAGCCAAAGAAAGGAGCCCAGGAAAGUAGAAAAGCUAAAGAAAGCAAGCAAGCAGGGUGAAGGUUAGAAACUAUGACCACAAGGGGAAAGAAUGAGGCAGGAGAAAUAGGAUGGGAGAGGAGUAGAACUCACGGUUGGCGGUGGUUGCAUUGGUGGACACUCAGCCACAAAGGGCUCAUCUCUGUUCUCUGUCUAUAUCGUGUUAGCGUUUUGUUUCAUUUCUCCUUCUAUGUCACUUAGCAAUCCCCACUCGUCCUUUUUCUUUUCAGAUUGCGAGCCCCCUGAUUAUUGAAAGGUGAAAGUUUCUGUACCAAGUCAUCAGACGUGGAACAUCUAAUUGUAACUGAUUCAGUGUCUAGUUCCCACCUGUUUAUUUUUUCCCUGUGCUUAGUACAAUGGUCUGCGCACAGUAAGCACCUUAUAAAUACCAUCACUACCAUUACUGGAUGGGUCUCAGGUGAGAAACUCAGCAAAAUUGGAGGGACUGAGAGAGAUUGGAAGAAAUCAGUGGAGGUAAGGGGGACGGAAGCCAGCUGGGAGGUUGAAAGAUGAGGUUGUGCAAACCACUAGCAUUAUAAUCAACUCCUUCACACAGUGUCUUGGCCCUCAAGUCCCUCUGACUGGAUCCAGAGCCAUCCACCGCUUAAAGUGGGAGAGAUUCCAACAUCAUUAUUGGAGUCUGCCCCCUCUGAUCAGUUGACAUUUUAACAAUGCAGUCCAUCAGGCAAAGGAAUUGAACGCUUACCGUGUGCCGAGCCCUGUACUGAGCGCUUGGGAGAGUAUAAAUAUUCACUGAAUCGAAUUUGACUUAUUGAGUCUCACCAGCAUCAGUUGUUGGAGUUUUUGGUAUUAUCGAUGGGAUUUUUUCCCAUCGCGAUCACGUGCUGCCAGGCUUAUGUACAUAUGUGCAUGUGUACUUUUGGAAAGUGAAGAGAAACAGGGAGGCCGACCUACAUGCAAGCACACAGGCUGGUGGGUUUCAUGCUCUGGGGGUGGGGCGGGGCGUCGCUUAAGGGUUGCCUCUUGUUGAGCUUCUUGGGGUGACAGUUCAA